AUACUUACCUGGCAGGGGAGACACCAUGAUCGGGCAGGUGGUUUUCCUAGGGCGAGGCUUAUCCCUUGCAGUCCGGGUGUGCUGAUCCCUGCGAUUUCCCCAAAUGCGGGAAACUCGACUGCAUAAUUUGUGGUAGUGGGGGACUGCGUUCGCGCUCUCCCCUG
Small nuclear RNA from Strigops habroptila (Kakapo), 164 nucleotides. Its record names the gene U1. It matches the Rfam family "U1 spliceosomal RNA". From Rfam's summary of the family: U1 is a small nuclear RNA (snRNA) component of the spliceosome (involved in pre-mRNA splicing). Lineage: Eukaryota; Metazoa; Chordata; Aves; Psittaciformes; Psittacidae. The record is from Ensembl.